Molecule: ribosomal RNA, 265 nt
Filed under: uncultured archaeon
Lineage: Archaea
Description: partial 16S ribosomal RNA
Rfam family: Archaeal small subunit ribosomal RNA
Source: RNAcentral
ACACGACUACAUUAGAUACCCCUGUAGUCCCAGCCCUAAACGAUGCGCGUUAGGUGUAUCGGUGACCACGAGUCACCGAGGUGCCGAAGGGAAACCGUGAAACGUGCCGCCUGGGAAGUACGGUCGCAAGGCUGAAACUUAAAGGAAUUGGCGGGGGAGCACUACAACGGGUGGAGCCUGCGGUUUAAUUGGACUCAACGCCGGGAAGCUCACCGGAUAAGACAGCGGAAUGAUUGCCGGGCUGAAGACCCUGCAUGACCAGCUG